Molecule: ribosomal RNA, 429 nt
Filed under: Acidobacteriota bacterium
Lineage: Bacteria; Pseudomonadati; Acidobacteriota
Description: Acidobacteria bacterium partial 16S ribosomal RNA
Rfam family: Bacterial small subunit ribosomal RNA
Source: RNAcentral
UGGGGAAUUUUGGACAAUGGGGGAAACCCUGAUCCAGCCAUCCCGCGUGUGCGAUGAAGGCCUUCGGGUUGUAAAGCACUUUUGGCAGGAAAGAAACGUCAUGGGUUAAUACCCCGUGAAACUGACGGUACCUGCAGAAUAAGCACCGGCUAACUACGUGCCAGCAGCCGCGGUAAUACGUAGGGUGCAAGCGUUAAUCGGAAUUACUGGGCGUAAAGCGUGCGCAGGCGGUUCGGAAAGAAAGAUGUGAAAUCCCAGAGCUCAACUUUGGAACUGCAUUUUUAACUACCGGGCUAGAGAGUGUCAGGGGGAUGUGGAAUUCCGCGUGUGGCAGUGAAAUGCGUAGAUAUGCGGAGGAACACCGAUGGCGAAGGCAGCCUCCUGGGAUAACACUGACGCUAAUGCACGAAAGCGUGGGGAGCAAACAGG